UACGAAGGGGGCUAGCGUUGCUCGGAAUCACUGGGCGUAAAGGGUGCGUAGGCGGCCCUGUAAGUAUGGUGUGAAAUCUCCCGGCUUAACUGGGAGGGUGCGCUAUAGACUGCGGGGCUCGAGUGUGGGAGAGGAAAGUGGAAUUCCUGGUGUAGCGGUGAAAUGCGUAGAUAUCAGGAGGAACACCGGUGGUGUAAACGGCUUUCUGGACCAUAACUGACGCUGAGGCACGAAAGCGUGGGUAGCAAACAGG
RNAcentral lists this ribosomal RNA (253 nucleotides) under uncultured bacterium. RNAcentral's name for it is "partial 16S ribosomal RNA". It matches the Rfam family "Bacterial small subunit ribosomal RNA", at positions 524 to 776 of the family's 1533-position model. The record is from RNAcentral.